RNAcentral lists this ribosomal RNA (300 nucleotides) under uncultured Lactobacillus sp. Its description in RNAcentral is "bacterial SSU rRNA". The stretch from base 52 to 300 matches the Rfam family "Bacterial small subunit ribosomal RNA", at positions 547 to 795 of the family's 1533-position model. Lineage: Bacteria; Bacillati; Bacillota; Bacilli; Lactobacillales; Lactobacillaceae. The record is from RNAcentral.
GAAAACGUGGUGGCAGUGGGCGGGAGAGUAGGUGGGGGGCAAGCGUGGUCCGGUUGUAUGGGGGGUAAAGCGGGCGCAGGCGGUGCCUGAAGUCGGAUGUGAAAGCCCACGGCUCAACCGUGGAAGGGCAUUGGAAACGGGGGAACUUGAGUGCAGAAGAGGAGAGUGGAAUUCCAUGUGUAGCGGUGAAAUGCGUAGAUAUAUGGAGGAACACCAGUGGCGAAGGCGACUCUCUGGUCUGUAACUGACGCUGAGGCUCGAAAGCGUGGGGAGCAAACAGGAUUAGAUACCCCAGUAGUC